RNAcentral lists this transfer RNA (73 nucleotides) under bacterium. RNAcentral's name for it is "tRNA-OTHER". The record is from RNAcentral.
GCUGUGAUCGGGAAUGGUCGUACCGGAGCCGGCAACCGCUCGACGGACGGGGGUUCGAUUCCCCCCAGCUCCA